RNAcentral lists this ribosomal RNA (400 nucleotides) under uncultured bacterium. RNAcentral's name for it is "bacterial SSU rRNA". It matches the Rfam family "Bacterial small subunit ribosomal RNA", at positions 355 to 753 of the family's 1533-position model. The record is from RNAcentral.
UGAGGAAUAUUGGUCAAUGGGCGAGAGCCUGAACCAGCCAAGUCGCGUGAGGGAAGACGGCCCUACGGGUUGUAAACCUCUUUUGUCAGGGAGCAAGAACAGAUACGUGUAUCUGAGCGAGAGUACCUGAAGAAAAAGCAUCGGCUAACUCCGUGCCAGCAGCCGCGGUAAUACGGAGGAUGCGAGCGUUAUCCGGAUUUAUUGGGUUUAAAGGGUGCGUAGGCGGGCUGCCAAGUCAGCGGUAAAAUUGCGGGGCUCAACCCCGUCGAGCCGUUGAAACUGGCGGUCUUGAGUGGGCGAGAAGUAUGCGGAAUGCGUGGUGUAGCGGUGAAAUGCAUAGAUAUCACGCAGAACUCCGAUUGCGAAGGCAGCAUACCGGCGCCCGACUGACGCUGAAGCA